Molecule: ribosomal RNA, 1086 nt
Filed under: uncultured Arthrobacter sp.
Lineage: Bacteria; Bacillati; Actinomycetota; Actinomycetes; Micrococcales; Micrococcaceae
Description: bacterial SSU rRNA
Rfam family: Bacterial small subunit ribosomal RNA
Source: RNAcentral
UCAGCUUGUUGGUGGGGUAAUGGCCUACCAAGGCGACGACGGGUAGCCGGCCUGAGAGGGUGACCGGCCACACUGGGACUGAGACACGGCCCAGACUCCUACGGGAGGCAGCAGUGGGGAAUAUUGCACAAUGGGCGCAAGCCUGAUGCAGCGACGCCGCGUGAGGGAUGACGGCCUUCGGGUUGUAAACCUCUUUCAGUAGGGAAGAAGCGAAAGUGACGGUACCUGCAGAAGAAGCGCCGGCUAACUACGUGCCAGCAGCCGCGGUAAUACGUAGGGCGCAAGCGUUAUCCGGAAUUAUUGGGCGUAAAGAGCUCGUAGGCGGUUUGUCGCGUCUGCUGUGAAAGACCGGGGCUCAACUCCGGUUCUGCAGUGGGUACGGGCAGACUAGAGUGCAGUAGGGGAGACUGGAAUUCCUGGUGUAGCGGUGAAAUGCGCAGAUAUCAGGAGGAACACCGAUGGCGAAGGCAGGUCUCUGGGCUGUAACUGACGCUGAGGAGCGAAAGCAUGGGGAGCGAACAGGAUUAGAUACCCUGGUAGUCCAUGCCGUAAACGUUGGGCACUAGGUGUGGGGGACAUUCCACGUUUUCCGCGCCGUAGCUAACGCAUUAAGUGCCCCGCCUGGGGAGUACGGCCGCAAGGCUAAAACUCAAAGGAAUUGACGGGGGCCCGCACAAGCGGCGGAGCAUGCGGAUUAAUUCGAUGCAACGCGAAGAACCUUACCAAGGCUUGACAUGAACCGGUAAUACCUGGAAACAGGUGCCCCGCUUGCGGUCGGUUUACAGGUGGUGCAUGGUUGUCGUCAGCUCGUGUCGUGAGAUGUUGGGUUAAGUCCCGCAACGAGCGCAACCCUCGUUCUAUGUUGCCAGCGCGUUAUGGCGGGGACUCAUAGGAGACUGCCGGGGUCAACUCGGAGGAAGGUGGGGACGACGUCAAAUCAUCAUGCCCCUUAUGUCUUGGGCUUCACGCAUGCUACAAUGGCCGGUACAAAGGGUUGCGAUACUGUGAGGUGGAGCUAAUCCCAAAAAGCCGGUCUCAGUUCGGAUUGGGGUCUGCAACUCGACCCCAUGAAGUCGGAGUCGCUAG